Molecule: long non-coding RNA, 278 nt
Organism: Lacerta agilis (Sand lizard)
Lineage: Eukaryota; Metazoa; Chordata; Lepidosauria; Squamata; Lacertidae
Exons: 2
Source: RefSeq, a predicted model, not a curated record
CAGCACCCUUUUUGCAACUGAGCCUUCUGCUGACUGAACUGAACAGAGUUUGGAGAGGGAGGUGUAAACAAGUGUAUCCGAUGGAGGCCGGGAGGGAAAUCUCUCCGAUACCCAUGGAGGGGAGUGAGAACAUCUACAACAAAUAUCCACGUUCCCAAGUUUAUGUCAAUAUUUUAAAUGCUUACCGUAAGAGCUUUCAUUGUGGGAAUAAAUGCACCAAAUAUUUAUGUGCAUAUACAUUGAGAAGUAACAUUUGUAUGCCCCCUACCUCUGCCUUA